UAUUCUAAGGCGCUUGAGAGAACUCAGGAGAAGGAACUCGGCAAAUUGACACCGUAACUUCGGAAGAAGGUGUGCCCUAGUAAUGUGAUGAGAACAUCUGAGCAUGAAUGGGUUGCAAAAAAUUGGUGGCUGCGACUGUUUAUUAAAAACACAGCACUCUGCAAACACGAAAGUGGACGUAUGGGGUGUGACGCCUGCCCGGUGCUGGAAGAUUAAUUGAUGGGGUGCAAGCUCUUGAUCGAAGUCCCAGUAAACGGCGGCCGUAACAAUAACGGUCCUAAGGUAGCGAAAUUCCUUGUCGGGUAAGUUCCGACCUGCACGAAUGGCGUAACGAUGGCCACACUGUCUCCUCCUGAGACUCAGCGAAGUUGAAAUGUUUGUGAUGAUGCAAUCUCCCCGCGGAAAGACGGAAAGACCCCAUGAACCUUUACUGUAGCUUUGUAUUGGACUUUGAACAGAUCUGUGUAGGAUAGGUGGGAGGCUUUGAAGCAGGGUCGCUAGAUCUUGUGGAGCCAACGUUGAAAUACCACCCUGGUGUGUUUGAGGUUCUAACCUAGGUCCAUUAUCUGGAUCGGGGACAGUGCAUGGUAGGCAGUUUGACUGGGGCGGUCUCCUCCCAAAGUGUAACGGAGGAGUUCGAAGGUACGCUAGGUACGGUCGGACAUCGUGCUAAUAGUGCAAUGGCAUAAGCGUGCUUAACUGCGAGACUGACAAGUCGAGCAGAUGCGAAAGCAGGACAUAGUGAUCCGGUGGUUCUGUAUGGAAGGGCCAUCGCUCAACGGAUAAAAGGUACUCUGGGGAUAACAGGCUGAUACCGCCCAAGAGUUCAUAUCGACGGCGGUGUUUGGCACCUCGAUGUCGGCUCAUCUCAUCCUGGGGCUGUAGCCGGUCCCAAGGGUAUGGCUGUUCGCCAUUUAAAGAGGUACGUGAGCUGGGUUUAAAACGUCGUGAGACAGUUUGGUCCCUAUCUUCCGUGGGCGCUGCAGAUUUGAGGAAGCCUGCUCCUAGUACGAGAGGACCGGAGUGGACGCACCUCUGGUGUACCGGUUGUCACGCCAGUGGCAUUGCCGGGUAGCUAAGUGCGGAAGAGAUAACCGCUGAAAGCAUCUAAGCGGGAAACUCGUUCCAAGAUGAGAUCUGCCGGGGCCUUGAGCCCCCUAAAGAGUCGUUCAAGACCAGGACGUUGAUAGGUCAGGUGUGGAAGCGCAGCAAUGCGUUAAGCUAACUGAUACUAAUUGCUCGUGCGGCUUGACC
Molecule: ribosomal RNA, 1254 nt
Filed under: metagenome
Description: bacterial LSU rRNA
Rfam family: Bacterial large subunit ribosomal RNA
Source: RNAcentral